Molecule: small nuclear RNA, 129 nt
Organism: Cannabis sativa
Lineage: Eukaryota; Viridiplantae; Streptophyta; Magnoliopsida; Rosales; Cannabaceae
Product: U11 spliceosomal RNA
Exons: 1
Source: RefSeq, a predicted model, not a curated record
AAAAAGGGUCAGUUGGCUAAAUAUGCCACGCUCACCCUAGUUUUGGUGAGUGUUGUAUGGCUAUCAAGACAUAUGGCUGACAUAAUUUGUGUAAACUUAUACGGUAGGCUCGCUGCCGACCCUCCAUUA